Molecule: transfer RNA, 70 nt
Filed under: Arthrobacter sp. MN05-02
Lineage: Bacteria; Bacillati; Actinomycetota; Actinomycetes; Micrococcales; Micrococcaceae
Description: tRNA-Pro
Source: RNAcentral
GCGUCCGGUAGCAGGUGCGGCACCCCGCUGGGAACGGGGACCGACGACGAUCCUCCCGUUGCGGGCGGAC